RNAcentral lists this ribosomal RNA (479 nucleotides) under uncultured bacterium. RNAcentral describes it as "partial 16S ribosomal RNA". It matches the Rfam family "Bacterial small subunit ribosomal RNA", at positions 28 to 507 of the family's 1533-position model. The record is from RNAcentral.
GACGAACGCUGGCGGCGCGCUUAACACAUGCAAGUCGAGCGAUGAAAUUUCGCCAGAUCCCUUCGGGGUGAAGAUGAAAUGGAUUAGCGGCGGACGGAUGAGUAACACGUGAGUAACCUGCCUUUGACAAUGGGAUCGCCUCGGGGAACUGGGAUUAAUACCAAAUGACACUAACUGAUCACAUGAUCAAUUAGUCAUAGAAAUUCGGUCAAAGAUGGACUCGCGGCUGAUUGGCCCGUUGGUGAGGUAACGGCCCACCGAGGCGUAGAUCGGUAGCCGGCGUGGGAGGGUGAUCGGCGACAUUGGAACGGAGACACGGUCCAAGGUCCGAAGGGAGGGAGCAGUGGGGAAUAUUGCAGCAAGGCGGAAACAGUGAUGCAGCGUCGCCGAGGGAGCGAAGAAGGCCUUCGGGUCGUAAAGCUCUUUUAUGAGGGAAGAUAAUGACGGUACCUGAAGAAAAAGCCCCGGCUAACUACGUG